UACGGGGGGAGCAAGCGUUGUUCGGAUUUACUGGGCGUAAAGGGCGCGUAGGCGGCCACCGCAAGUCGACUGUGAAAUCUCCGGGCUUAACCCGGAAAGGUCAGCCGAUACUGCGGGGCUAGAGUGCAGAAGGGGCAACUGGAAUUCUCGGUGUAGCGGUGAAAUGCGUAGAUAUCGAGAGGAACACCUGCGGCGAAGGCGGGUUGCUGGGCUGACACUGACGCUGAUGCGCGAGAGCUAGGGGAGCGAACGGG
This 254-nucleotide ribosomal RNA is filed under the name uncultured bacterium. RNAcentral describes it as "partial 16S ribosomal RNA". It matches the Rfam family "Bacterial small subunit ribosomal RNA", at positions 524 to 776 of the family's 1533-position model. The record is from RNAcentral.